RNAcentral lists this ribosomal RNA (325 nucleotides) under uncultured eukaryote. RNAcentral describes it as "partial 18S ribosomal RNA". It matches the Rfam family "Eukaryotic small subunit ribosomal RNA", at positions 1470 to 1796 of the family's 1831-position model. The record is from RNAcentral.
CCCUUAGAUGUUCUGGGCCGCACGCGCGCUACACUGAUGCAUUCAACGAGCCUAUCCUUGACCGACAGGUCCGGGUAAUCUUUGAAUCUGCAUCGUGACGGGGAUAGAUUAUUGCAAUUAUUAAUCUUCAACGAGGAAUGCCUAGUAGGCGCAAGUCAUCAGCUUGCGUCGAUUACGUCCCUGCCCUUUGUACACACCGCCCGUCGCUCCUACCGAUUCGGUGUGCUGGUGAAAUGUUCGGAUCGGCCGUUUGUCGCGGUUUCCGCGUCAUGUGGCUGAGAAGUUCAUUAAACCCUCCCACCUAGAGGAAGGAGAAGUCGUAACA